Molecule: ribosomal RNA, 627 nt
Filed under: uncultured Russulaceae
Lineage: Eukaryota; Fungi; Basidiomycota; Agaricomycetes; Russulales; Russulaceae
Description: LSU rRNA
Rfam family: Eukaryotic large subunit ribosomal RNA
Source: RNAcentral
UAAGCGGAGGAAAAGAAACUAACAAGGAUUCCCCUAGUAACUGCGAGUGAAGCGGGAAAAGCUCAAAUUUAAAAUCUGGCGGUCUUUGGCCGUCCGAGUCGUAAUUUAGAGAAGCGUCUUCCGCGCUGGACCGUGCACAAGUCUCCUGGAAUGGAGCGUCAUAGAGGGUGAGAAUCCCGUCUUUGGCACGGAUGCCUGGUGCUUCUGUGAUGCGCUCUCGAAGAGUCGAGUUGUUUGGGAAUGCAGCUCAAAAUGGGUGGUGAACUCCAUCUAAAGCUAAAUAUUGGCGAGAGACCGAUAGCGAGCAAGUACCGUGAGGGAAAGAUGAAAGGCACUUUGGAAAGAGAGUGAAACAGUACGUGAAAUUGUUGAAAGGGAAACGCUUGAAGUCAGUCGCGUCGACCGAGACUCAGCCUUGCCUUGGCUUGGUGUACUUCUCGGCCCGACGGGUCAGCAUCAAUUUUGCCCCUCGGAUAAUGGCAAGGGAAAGGUGGCACCUUUACGGGUGUGUUAUAGUCUCCUGUCGAAUGCGAGGGGUGGGAUUGAGGAACUCAGCGCGCACCUCAGUGUCGGGGCUUCGGCCCACGUCACGCGCUUAGGAUGCUGGCGUAAUGGCUUUAAACGACC